Homo sapiens (human) is the source of this 3115-nucleotide long non-coding RNA. The record is from Ensembl. NCBI's taxonomy places the organism in Eukaryota, Metazoa, Chordata, Mammalia, Primates, Hominidae.
AUGUUCAAUAAAUAGUUAUGGAAUGUUUUCUUUUAUCUGAUUAGUCAUAUUUAUAGUAGAUUCACUAUUCACUAUUUAGAUUCACUAUUUAUCAAUAACCUGCACUCAAUAGUUUUGGUGCAUUCUUCUAAUUCUGUUUAUUUGUUUCCUGAUAAUAGAAGUAUCACAUGCAUUCUAUAGAUAAUUUGAAAGUAUAAAUGAGUAUUAAAAAGAAAGCAACCACAUAUCAUCCCCCAAACUGAGAUUAUCAUUAUUAACAUUUUAGUUUAUUUUCAAGCAUUUCCUAAGUAUAUUUUAGUUAUUUAAUCAUAUUAUACAGUAUUCAAUAUAUCUUUUAUUUUUAUAGAAGUAUUUUCUGUAUUAUAAAACAUGCUACAAAAUGUUUUGAUGGAUAUACAGCAUUUCAAUAUAUCAAAGUCAUAAUUGCCCUAAUCCUUUCUGAUAUCAUUUGCAUCUGUGUCCCCAGCAAAUCUUACACUCAAUUGUAAUCCCCCAUGUUGGAGGGGGACCUGGUAGGAGGGGAUUGGAUCAUGGGGGCAGAGUUCUAGUGAAUGACUUAGCACCAUCCCUGCUUGGUACUACAUACAAUAUCAUUCUAUCACUUUUAAAGUGUGCUGUGAGACCUCACACUUUUAAAAGUUGUUUAAAAGUAUGUAGCACCUCCCACUUCUCUCUCUUGCUCCUGCUCCAGCCAUGUCAGAUGGGUCUGCUUCCACUUCGCCUUUGGCCAUCAGUAAAAGCUCCCUGAGGCUCCCCAGAAGCAGAUGCUGCUGUGGUUCUUGUACAGCCUGCAGAACCAUGAACCAAGUAAACCUUUCUUCUUUAUGAAUUACCCAGUCUCAGGUAUUUCUUUUUUUCUUCUGCACAAAUUAACCUUAGCAGCUUAAGGUGUUUAUUUAUAGCAAUGUGAGAGCAGAGUAACGCACUUUCCCAAUCAUAAGACACUUAGAUUGUUUCCAAUCAUCACGAUCUAUAAUGCUGUCAUGAGUACCUUUGUACUAAAUCUUGUAAGCAUCUCUAAUUCUUUUCUUAUAUUAGAGUUUUGGAAGAUGAACUACAGAGUCAAAGAAUACAAACAAUUUUAAGACUUUUAAUAUGUAUUGUCGAGUUGAUUUACGGUUAAGUUUUACCAACUUAAACACCCACAAGCACUUGCUUCACUGCACGGUCAUCAGCAUUGUAGCUGGAAAUGGGAGAGCCUGGGCUUCAUUCCUGGCCUACUAAAUCCAUAAGCAAGAGGAAAAAACAACACAAUCAAGGGACAAACUACAUCGUGUGAGGCCAGCUCAGGCUGCUACUACUCUGUCAUCCUAAGAGAAGAAUCUCUGAAAUUUUGACAGCAUGUGGAAAUAUUCCCACUGAUUAUUGGAUUAUGAAGAUGGAGAAGAGUAUUUUAAAGGAGUUUUGUAGGAGCUGCAGGAGAGGAUUCAGGUAUAUUUAUAUUCAUAGUAUAUGUGUAAUGCUUUGUUCCUGCUCCUUCAUUACUUCUAUUAAGAAGAGACAAGGAGAGAGACAUGGAAAUGACUAAGGCACCAAAGGAAAGGCAUUUUUUACAUUUCAAAGUCACAGGUAAAAAACAUUUAUCAUUUUCAUGUGGAAACAUUCUUCCAAGCUGUAACUAAUAAUGGUCUCUCCUACUAUUUCCUCCCACUUCUGCAGCUGCUAAAACACCUUUGCCACCAGCUCCGACAAUCAAACCAUGCCUUUGGAUUUCUUCAGUUUCUAAAGGGGAACAUCUUUUUAAAGCCUUUGUUGUAUUAAUUAAGAAUCCAGGGCCAAGCCCGUGGCUCAUGCCCAUAAUCCCAGCACUUUGUGAGGCCAAGGCAGGUAGAUCACCUGAGGUCGGGAGUUCGAGACCAGCCUGACCAACAUGGAGAAACCCCGUAUCUAUUAAAAAUACAAAAUUAGCCAGGCAUAGUGGCAUAUGCCUGUAAUCGCAGCUAUUCAGGAGGCCGAGGCAGGAGAAUCGCUUGAAUAUGGGAGGUGGAGGCUGUGGUGAGCCGGGAUCGUGCCAUUGCACUCCAGCCUGGGUGACAAGAGCGAAACUCUGUCACCAAAAAAAAAAAAAAAUUCAGUGGCUGGCAUAGAGUCAAGAAACUCUAUGAACAGAAGAUAACUGACUUAGCAGCAGCAGAGUAAGCCUCCAAAAAGAAGCAAGAUCUUUGAAAGUGGCUGGGAGAGCUCCCAACUGAAUAGGCUUCAGCCUCCCACUGUCAGUACUUAAGGUUCAAAUGCCUCAGGCUGCGGGAGGGGACGGGGUGGAGACUGGCCAUGUCGGAGGUGACCUGGAGUCUGCUGCAGCUCUGGGGCGCCAGUUUUAGGAGAGGCGCCAACUUCGACUUUUGGGGCCAGCCGGUGGAGGCGAUAGAUGAGUAUCAGAUAUUAGCAAGACAUCUACAAAAAGAGGCCCAAGCUCAACACAAUAAUUCUGAAUUCACAGAAGAACAAAAGAAAACCAUAGGCAAAAUUGCAACAUGCUUAGAAUUGUGAAGUGCAGCUUUACAGUCCACACAGUCUCAAGAAGAAUUUAAACUGGAGGACCUGAAGAAGCUAGAACCAAUCCUAAAGAAUAUUCUUACAUAUAAUAAAGAAUUCCCAUUUGAUAUUCAGCCUGUCCCAUUAAGAAGAAUUUUGGCACCUGGUAAAGAAGAGAAUUUGGAAUUUGAAGAAGAAGAAGAGGGUGGUGCUGGAGCAGGAUCUCCUGAUUCUUUUCCUGCUAGAGUUCCCGAUGCUUUAGAUACCAGGGUUGCCAUUGGAACCAGGAAUGACAUUACUCACUAUCAGAAUUGAGAAAAUUGGUUUGAAAGAUGCUGGGCAGUGCAUCGAUCCCUAUAUUACAGUUAGAGUAAAGGAUCUGAAUGGCAUAGACUUAACUCCUGUGCAAGAUACUCCUGUGGCUUCAAGAAAAGAAGAUACAUAUGUUCAUUUUAAUGUGGACAUUGAGCUCCAGAAGCAUGUUGAAAAAUUAAUCAAAGGUGCAGCUAUCUUCUUUGAAUUCAAACACUACAAGCCUAAAAAAAGGUUUACCAGCACCAAGUGUUUUGCUUUCAUGGAGAUGGAUGAAAUUAAACCUGGGCCAAUUGUAAUAGAACUAUACAAGAAACCCACUGACUUU